CUCAUGCUCACGAAUUAACAGGAGCCCAGGCAAUGGAAAUGCUUCUGCCUCACGAAUCUGUCUUCUAUGCUGUAGAAAUACUUCUAUGAUUCAGUUUUUCCUCAAGAGGAACACCCAACUCUUGCUGAACUACUAGAGCUCAGCUGAGGGCAACUACAACCUAUGCUGGCUUUCGAAGAAGGUGACUUCCAAAGAGGACGUCAGGAUCCUGUGGCUUAAGUGGAAAGCUGUGGCCAGAGCUCUGAAGUGUUGACAAGUGGAACCGAUUCCCGUGGUACAGGACUGUAUUCUGCAAGGCAUCAAAAGCAGGUUCGUCAUGAACACAAUGCCAUAGGGGCUGUCCUGAAGACAUAUUUAUCCUGCUGGGGUUUAAGAAAAGGCCUAAGCUUGGCUCUUUCCCAUCUUUUAAAAUGUUACAAGCUUUUAUCUGAACUUCUCAAACAACAUGCUAAGCGCUGCAAUGUUGCCCAAAGCUGGGGACAAGACAGAAAAACCUGCUCUGAGAGCUGUGCAAAGAUAACGCCGUUGUCAACCAAAGAAACCUCCUUCACUUAUUCAAGAGUAUCGCCCG
RNAcentral lists this long non-coding RNA (571 nucleotides) under Struthio camelus australis. RNAcentral describes it as "lncRNA (ENSSCUG00000013519.1)". The record is from RNAcentral. Lineage: Eukaryota; Metazoa; Chordata; Aves; Struthioniformes; Struthionidae.